Molecule: long non-coding RNA, 1095 nt
Filed under: Salvia miltiorrhiza (redroot sage)
Lineage: Eukaryota; Viridiplantae; Streptophyta; Magnoliopsida; Lamiales; Lamiaceae
Description: long non-coding RNA (SMIL_LNC005381)
Source: RNAcentral
UUGUUAUUUAUGUUACGUAUAUCACUGAUAGAAGUCUUCUUGCCUCGAAGUACUCUGUGAAAAAGGCUCGUCCUCGAAAUAUCAUGAUCCUCAUUCGGAUCAAAACCCUGCAGGGAAGGCCCGAAGUGUAAUCCCAUCACCAAACAGAACUCGAGGGUCCCAAUUCGCAUGUCGUGUCCACAAACGUGGAACCACUUUUCCCAUACACCAAACUGCGGGUCGUACAACUUUCGUGCAAGAAGCUGGUACAGUGCGGCAUUGGCGCUCUCUUCCCUCUUCAAAUCAUGUAAGUGGCCAAACGGACUACAUUUGAAUUCCUCAAAACGACGGUAACGCUCCAAACACUUCUACACAUCCUUUAAUAAAGCUAUCCGGAUAUAGUGAUUGAUACGUCCGGCAUAACUCUGGAUAUGUGGACGUAACCAAGCAUAACGAGGAGGUUGCAAUUAAUUAAAAAUAAUUAGAAUCAACCAAAAUCAAACAAAAACAAUCAAACAGUGCCCGAAAAGCAAACCGUGCACAUAACAACCAACCGUGCACACCAGAACACUUUUCAGUUCAUAACCGUGCACAGAAGAACCGAUCGUGCACUAAGGACCCAACCGUGCACGGUUGAAUCGUGCACACCAGAAUACUUUUCAGUACAUAAAAACAUAAAACAAAGUGUAAUAACACAACCUUGCAAAACCUAAUCGAAAUCGUACGCAACUGUGCACGGAAGAACCAAUUGUGCACUGAAGAACAAACCGUGCAUGAUUAAAUCGUGCACAAAAUUAAUUCCAAACUUCAAAAUAUAUCAUGAGAGCAUAUUAAUAUAAAACACAUCAAUAAAAUCUAACUGUGUACAAGAAAAAUGAAACCGUGUCUAAUCGUGCACGGUUAGUUCCAAACAUUUUUCAGAUUGCAGAUAUGAUAAUUCGAUACAUAUUCCAACACAUAAACACCCAAUAAUCAACUAUUGUGCACUCAUAAAUAUUACACGACACUCAAAUUCAACGUUUAACAAAUAUAGGGUACGAUUACUUACCGGAUUCGGCCCCGGGUAUUGUUCCUUCUUCUUUGAUUUACUCCAGUGAAUUGGCUAUUAUACCUCUC